CAGUAUUAAGUUUUACAGCAAGGCUUUUUGUGCUAACAGCGAACUCUUGUGGUCGCUUUGCGACAUGGCUUAUUGGUUUUCUCCUCUCGUUCAAUAUGGCUGCAAGACGUCUCUGUUGUGCUUAUAUGAUCCUUGGACAAGAUUUGUCCACGCGCAGAUGAUGACAAUCAGCAGCACUGCCAAGAAGAAGGAGAGCAGUACACCAAGGAUGAUCUGCUCAUCUCUGCUUAACAGGCCGUAGACUAUGAGAGACAAAAAGUUCCUUUACUGCUUGCCUGCCAAAAUGCCUGCCUGCCAGCUCACCUGUUCUAUUACUAAACUGCCCACCAGAUUUUUCGGACACGAUCUGCCACUCCCUCUCAUCUUCAAUGAACUCUUUUUAUCACUGCCAGUUUGCCUCUGACUUGUAAAAAUAGGUCAUCUUUAAUGUAGAGUUGCUUGUUCCAAUUAAAAGAUAUUGUAAAAAAAAAAGUAUUGUUAUGGUGCAUU
Corythoichthys intestinalis (scribbled pipefish) is the source of this 489-nucleotide long non-coding RNA. RefSeq lists it as uncharacterized. The transcript is spliced from 3 exons. The record is from RefSeq and is a predicted model, not a curated record. Lineage: Eukaryota; Metazoa; Chordata; Actinopteri; Syngnathiformes; Syngnathidae.